Hippopotamus amphibius kiboko is the source of this 955-nucleotide long non-coding RNA. RefSeq lists it as uncharacterized. The record is from RefSeq and is a predicted model, not a curated record. NCBI's taxonomy places the organism in Eukaryota, Metazoa, Chordata, Mammalia, Artiodactyla, Hippopotamidae. The transcript is spliced from 3 exons.
UGGGGUGGCUGAGUGUCUAACUGACGGUGAAAUUAGUGGUGGAAGAUGCUGCUGGGGAUACACUUCUCUUCACUCCACACGGGGCAGAGCCAGGAUGGAGUAGGACAGGUGUCAGGAUGGUCAUUUCACUUUGCCUAAAAUGCUACCUUCACGGUCUUCAUCACGCUUACCCCAUUUCAUGUUUGACUUUGGCCAUGUAUCUAGUAAUUUAACUUCAACUCACCCUAGAGGCAAGAAGAAGUGAUGCAGCUAUGGCAGGAGAAACCUGGAAACCCAAGGACAGCAAUGCAUCUGAUUCUCUGGUAAGCCCGGCCUCCCACUCACUGAAGAGCCAGCGGUCAGGGAAAAGUGGUCAGCAGUAUCCACAGCCAUGGUGUAGAGCGUGCACCACACAAAGAUGACCAGCUGAGGGCAUGGUAAGGGGCCGAAAUCCUGUUUGCCCUGCCAGUGCCCCAACAGCUUGAGUCCUCCCAAAUGUCAUUUCUUGAUGUCAUCUGUUCCUUUUCACCCACUAUGACCUUGGACUAAGCUCCCUCCACACCAGACCAUAUGGAAGACGAGCUGGGGGCUUCCUCUGACCAGUAAGAGAUGAGGUGACAUGGAGGGAAGAUGGGAUUUGGGAGGCUCCUGGGCAGGUUUCAUGUGGCUGGUAGGGAAGGUCAUGCAGUGUAAAAGGGCUGAUUGAAACAGUUGCAAUUUGCUUGGGUCAAAAGAGUUGUGAGCUGGGGAUGACAUUUGGCGUGGAGAGAAGGAGCUGAGCUCAUUGGGAUGAUGUUACUUAAAAACAGGUGCAGCAUUCCUCAGAUGCUAAGAGAAUCUUGUAUCUCCGGCUGGUUGGUAUGUAAAUGCGAGGAUGAGGACAUAUGCACAGUGGAAUGGGAUGGGCUUCCUCAAGAAUAAGGAGCCCGGAGGCAUCACAAAACCUUUGUUACCCCAGAGUUGGAAGUUUCCGCUA